Long non-coding RNA from Oncorhynchus tshawytscha (Chinook salmon), 383 nucleotides. Lineage: Eukaryota; Metazoa; Chordata; Actinopteri; Salmoniformes; Salmonidae. The record is from Ensembl.
UGUGGAGCGUGGCUAUAUGUGGAGGAGGAAGUCAGGGUAUAUGUGGAGUAGGAGGACAGGGUAUAUGUGGAGGAGGAAGUCAGGGUAUAUGUGGAGUAGGAGGACAGGGUAUAUGUGGAGGGGGAGGACAGGGUAUAUGUGGAGUAGGAGGACAGGGUAUAUGUGGAGGAGGAAGUCAGGGUAUAUGUGGAGGAGGAAGACAGGGUAUAUGUGGAGCGGGAGGACAGGGUAUGUGUGGAGCGGGAGGACAGGGUAUAUGUCGAGGGGGAGGACAGGGUAUAUGUGGAGCCGGAGGACAUAUAUGUGGAGUGGGAGGACGGGGUAUAUGUGGAGGACAGGGUAUAUGUGGAGGGGGGGGGGGGAGUAUGUGGAGGGGAAGGGGG